Molecule: transfer RNA, 74 nt
Filed under: Candidatus Geothermarchaeota archaeon ex4572_27
Lineage: Archaea; Thermoproteati; Candidatus Geothermarchaeota
Description: tRNA-Asp
Rfam family: tRNA
About the family: Transfer RNA (tRNA) molecules are approximately 80 nucleotides in length. Their secondary structure includes four short double-helical elements and three loops (D, anti-codon, and T loops). Further hydrogen bonds mediate the characteristic L-shaped molecular structure. tRNAs have two regions of fundamental functional importance: the anti-codon, which is responsible for specific mRNA codon recognition, and the 3' end, to which the tRNAs corresponding amino acid is attached (by aminoacyl-tRNA synthetases). tRNAs cope with the degeneracy of the genetic code in two manners: having more than one tRNA (with a specific anti-codon) for a particular amino acid; and 'wobble' base-pairing, i.e. permitting non-standard base-pairing at the 3rd anti-codon position.
Source: RNAcentral
GGGCGGGUCGUCUAGCCCGGUUAGGAUACCGGCCUGUCGAGCCGGUGACCCGGGUUCAAAUCCCGGCCCGCCCG